GAUGAAGAACGCAGCGAAAUGCGAUACUUGGUGUGAAUUGCAGAAUCCCGUGAACCAUCGAGUCUUUGAACGCAAGUUGCGCCCGAAGCCAUUAGGCCGAGGGCACGCCUGCCUGGGCGUCACACGUCGUUGCCCCCCCAUCUACUCCUUCGGGAUUGCGGGGGGCGGAUGAUGGCCUCCCGUGCGCCUCGUCGCGCGGUUGGCAUAAAUGCCAAGUCCUCGGCGACGCACGCCACGACAAUCGGUGGUUGCGAAACCUCGGUUGCCCGUCGUGUGCGGUCGUCGCGCAUCGAGGGCUCGAAAAAAUUGCCGGGCUCCGGCUCGGCUUUCAACGCGACCCCAGGUCAGGCGGGGUUACCCGCUGAAUUUAAGCAUAUCGAUAAGCGGAGGA
This 391-nucleotide unclassified non-coding RNA is filed under the name soil metagenome. RNAcentral's name for it is "partial contains 5.8S ribosomal RNA, internal transcribed spacer 2, and large subunit ribosomal RNA". The stretch from base 1 to 122 matches the Rfam family "5.8S ribosomal RNA", at positions 35 to 154 of the family's 154-position model. The record is from RNAcentral.